UUUUUUUCUUCACUCAAUUUUUCUUUCUUUGAGUAUCUCAUUAUGGCAUGAGUCUUUUACUUAGGCAAGUGCUUUUUAUCUCAUCUCCAUUUUUCAUUUCUUUUCUCUUUUUCUUUUCGAUAGAAGUAUAUGUUUCUACAAACCUUUUUUUAUAUUUUGUUGCACUUGCCCUUUUUCAAUUUCUAAGGAUCACCACCCUAAACUUAUCUUUUUGCACGAAUUUGGAACUACAACAGUCAUGCCGAGCGAAGGUAGGAAGUGUUUGGCUUAUGGUUAACAUAAUGGUUUU
RNAcentral lists this long non-coding RNA (289 nucleotides) under Lathyrus oleraceus (garden pea). Its description in RNAcentral is "Pisum sativum (pea) long non-coding RNA (PSAT_LNC025791)". Lineage: Eukaryota; Viridiplantae; Streptophyta; Magnoliopsida; Fabales; Fabaceae. The record is from RNAcentral.